GGUCCUAUGGGUAAAUGAUAUAGGAUUUAGCCUGCCCAAUGAAAAAUUUGAAUGGCCGCGGUAUAUUGACCGUGCAAAGGUAGCAUAAUAAUUAGUCCUUUAAUUGGGGUCUGGAAUGAAUGGUUGGACGAGAAAAAGACUGUCUAGGGUAGUCAUUAAUCUGAAUUUUAUUUUUAAGUGAAAAAGCUUAAAUUAUCUUGGGGGACGAUAAGACCCUAUAGAUCUUUAUAUUUUAUACUAGGGAAAAGAGCAGAAUUGUAUAAGGAGUAGUUUAAGGUAUUUUGUUGGGGUGAUUGGGAGAUAUAAUAAACUCUCUUAAAAAGGUGUUUUUUGCAUAUCAGCAUUUAUUAGUGAUCCGUUAAUAUACGAUAAUUGGAUUAAGUUACCUUAGGGAUAACAGCGUAAUUUUUCUUGAGAGUUCAUAUCGACAGGAAAGUUUGCGACCUCGAUGUUGGAUUAAGGAUUUCUUGAUGGUGGAGAAGCUAUUAGAGGAGGGUCUGUUCGACCUUUAAUUCCUUACA
This 521-nucleotide ribosomal RNA is filed under the name Anelpistina sp. 2 LE-2017. Its description in RNAcentral is "partial 16S ribosomal RNA". It matches the Rfam family "Bacterial large subunit ribosomal RNA", at positions 1819 to 2600 of the family's 2925-position model. The record is from RNAcentral. Lineage: Eukaryota; Metazoa; Arthropoda; Insecta; Zygentoma; Nicoletiidae.